CCCAGUUCAAGAAGAAAGAGGGAGGCUAAUGGAGGUGGUAGUGCUGCAGACCCAGUGAUGGUUUCAAGAGGACCAAUUUAUAUAACAAACAAGGCAAGUCAGGAUUCAGAAGUGUCCAGUCUAUCAAGUGGUAGCGACACAAGCCACCUGGCAGAGUCCCAGACAGGAAUCAUUGUUGGCAUCAUCACUGCUGUCAUUCUAGGAUUUGGUCUUCUCGCUAUAAGUUUCAUGCUGUAUAAAAUGUAUUACCGCCGUCGCUCUCAGAUAAGUGACCUGAAAGGAAAGAAUGAUGCUUACACCAAACAAGCACCAUAAUAAUUAUAUGGAAAUAAAAAUUAAU
Pseudophryne corroboree (corroboree frog) is the source of this 340-nucleotide long non-coding RNA. RefSeq lists it as uncharacterized. The record is from RefSeq and is a predicted model, not a curated record. The transcript is spliced from 3 exons. Lineage: Eukaryota; Metazoa; Chordata; Amphibia; Anura; Myobatrachidae.